GGGGAAUUUUCCGCAAUGGGCGAAAGCCUGACAGAGCAAUACCGCGUGAGGGAUGAAAACUUACUGAGUUGUAAACCUCGGUGCCUUAAAGAAGAAGAUCUGACGGUAUUNNNNGUGGAAAGCAUCGGCUAACUCCGUGCCAGCAGCCGCGGUAAGACGGGGGAUGCAAGUGUUAUCCGGAAUUAUUGGGCGUAAAGCGUCUGCAGGUGGUUUUAUAAGUCUACUGUUAAAUCUUAAGGCUCAACCUUAAAUCUGCAGUGGAAACUAUAAGACUUGAGUAUAGUAAGGGUAGAGNNNAUUUCCAGUGAAGCGGUGAAAUGCGUAGAUAUUGGAAAGAACACCGAUGGCGAAGGCACUCUACUAGGCUAUUACUGACACUCAGAGACGAAAGCUAGGGGAGCAAAUGGGAUUAGAUACCCCAGUAGUC
This 427-nucleotide ribosomal RNA is filed under the name uncultured cyanobacterium. Its description in RNAcentral is "bacterial SSU rRNA". It matches the Rfam family "Bacterial small subunit ribosomal RNA", at positions 356 to 795 of the family's 1533-position model. Lineage: Bacteria; Bacillati; Cyanobacteriota. The record is from RNAcentral.